UGUAAGUUUGACUGUGUGCUAUCAACAUCAAUACGUGAUGGAAGUUGCGUUCCUGCGUUGAGCUGAUGAGCGGUCACGCCAAUGUAAGCAGGCAGGAGCUCAUUCGCUGGCACUCGGAGCUGCUGCUAUGACGUCGGUACAACCGAUAUGAUGGGUAUCAUUAGAAACCGCAGAGGAAACUACCUAUACUUCGCCGUUUCCUGUUCGUUCGUCCUCGCCUACCUCACGACAUCCUUUACCAAACGCGGAUGGCCCAAGCUUCCCAAUACAUUUCAAGUUUAUCCUUGGCAGAUGGUUGCUUAUGACGAGAGUAACUGUGGUUGCCCAAGGUAUGGUCCACCAAUUUUAAGAGAGAGUGACCAGUCAUUGUGCAGUGACUGGUCAACCAGCCGUGGUCUCGGACAAAAGGUCGUUUCUUAUUCGUUGUACGGCAACCGGAAUAACACCCAAGUUAAUAAAAAGUAUUACAUGUCCGUAGAGGACAGACUGAAAGAAGUGGACAAGUUUUACAAAGGUUUCAUUGUGAGGUUGUACCAUAACCUGUCAUCAUCAGACCGGGAGAGCAGAGAAUUCCUGUGCCAUAUGUACUGUACAUAUCCAUUCUUCGACCCCUGUCAGGUAGAGAAUCUGUACCAUCAGGUUCCCAAGACUAAUCCAGACCUCAGACGAAGUCAUUCCUCAAAAAUAAACUUACCAAAAUUCCAGAUGCAUAACAGUAAAAUAAAAAAAGACAGGAUGAGAAGUUCACUAAUAGACAGACUUGGACCUAUAGAUUCUAACGCCGAAUUAGCCAAUGAAGGUCCCAAAAGCUACCAAGUUUUGCUUGUGGGGAAGAUGUGGCGAUUCCUCGUCAUGGGAGAUCCUCUGGUGUCCGAAUUCUUGGUCAGGGACGUGGAUUCGUCCAUCCUGGAACGAGAAGUAGCUGCGGUCGAACAAUGGCUUUAUAACUCGACGGCUCUGUUGCAUGUGAUGAGAGACCACCCGAGUCACAACGGAGUCAUGCUUGCAGGCCUGUGGGGAGGAUCUCGAGCAAGAGCUGGGCAUCGGUUGAGCGGACUUCUGUGGGAAAUGUUGAAGUGGCCUCCCAGGAACAUCUGGGAUUACGAUCAGGUCCUCCUCAGAAGGGUUGUCUGGCCGGAAGUAACUAAUGACGUGUUAGUGCAUGACAGCUACUUCUGUGGCAACCGCAGAUUUCAAUCCAAGCACCGCUCAGAGCCUUUUCCAACGCGCCGAGAUGGCAGGUAUUUUGUGGGAUGGGGCCCUUUGAGAGAUGCAGAGCUUGACGGCAUAAGUAUCUGCCCACGUCAGUGUAGACCUGUUAAUCACCAAGAUUGGAUUCUUUGUUAAAUCUUACUCCUAUUUUUUAUAUAAUGAGUGGUGUGGUUCCUGGCUGGCAGGAUGGAUAGCUCAUCUAGUAGUCCUUUCUGUGGUGGUCAUUGGGAUAAAGGUGAUGAAUCACCUCCUCCAUCAUAUGUUCGACACCACCGAUUGCCUCAAGGAAGAACUGACACCUGCAACGCCUACAACUGCCAACGAUAUCCCAACUCCCGUCCGAGUCAACUUAACCCCUGCCCAGCACAUAAGAAGCCGAUCAUUCGAAGAAAUAGAGAUGCAGGUAGUAAACAGUGGAGGCGGCGAGAGUGAAACUCCUCCUGUUGGUUGCAGCUCACGCAACUCUAUUAUGGAAGCUCAUCCCACCCACUCCGCCCAACCUCCCUCAACCAUAGGUAUUGAAAGCUAAA
RNA transcript from Macrobrachium nipponense, 1742 nucleotides. RefSeq lists it as uncharacterized. Lineage: Eukaryota; Metazoa; Arthropoda; Malacostraca; Decapoda; Palaemonidae. The record is from RefSeq and is a predicted model, not a curated record. The transcript is spliced from 8 exons.